UACGGAGGGAGCAAGCGUUGUCCGGAAUCACUGGGUUUAAAGGGAGCGUAGGCUGCUGCAUAAGUCAGGGGUGAAAGUUUGUCGCUUAACGAUAGAAUUGCCUUUGAUACUGUGCGGCUUGAAAUUAGGUGAGGUUGGCGGAAUGUGACAUGUAGCGGGGAAAGGCGUAGAUAUUUCAUAGAACACCGAUUGCGAAGGCAGCUGGCUAACCUAAAUGGGACGCUGAGGCACGGAAGCGUGGGUAGCAAACAGG
RNAcentral lists this ribosomal RNA (253 nucleotides) under uncultured bacterium. RNAcentral describes it as "partial 16S ribosomal RNA". It matches the Rfam family "Bacterial small subunit ribosomal RNA", at positions 524 to 776 of the family's 1533-position model. The record is from RNAcentral.